UAUUAUUUUAACGUUGCCGAAGACAGUAGGUGCAGAUUUCCUGCGUAAGUCCUACCGAGGUGGAAAAAUGGUUUAUAGCAAUAUUGCGUUUAAUAAAGCCUUUCUUUCCCCUGCUUAUCGGCAGAGGAUUUUUUUAU
RNAcentral lists this small RNA (137 nucleotides) under bovine gut metagenome. Its description in RNAcentral is "Ribosomal protein L10 leader". It matches the Rfam family "Ribosomal protein L10 leader". From Rfam's summary of the family: This family is a putative r-protein leader autoregulatory structure found in B. subtilis and other low-GC Gram-positive bacteria. It is located in the 5' untranslated regions of mRNAs encoding ribosomal proteins L10 and L12 (rplJ-rplL). The record is from RNAcentral.